CUACGGAGGAUCCGAGCGUUAUCCGGAUUUAUUGGGUUUAAAGGGUGCGCAGGCGGCCAUUUAAGUCAGCGGUUAAAUCGUGGGGCUCAACCUUAAAAUUGCAGUUGAUACUGGUUUCCUUGAGUACGGUACAGGUGGGCGGAAUUCGUGGUGUAGCGGUGAAAUGCUUAGAUAUCACGAAGAACUCCGAUCGCGAAGGCAGCUCACCGGGCCGGAACUGACACUGAUGCUCGAAAGUGUGGGUAUCAAACAGGAUUAGAUACCCUGGUAGUCCACACAGUAAACGAUGAAUACUCGCUGUUUGCGAUAUACAGUAAGCGGCCAAGCGAAAGCAUUAAGUAUUCCACCUGGGGAGUACGCCGGCAACGGUGAAACUCAAAUGAAUUGACGGGG
RNAcentral lists this ribosomal RNA (393 nucleotides) under uncultured bacterium. RNAcentral describes it as "partial 16S ribosomal RNA". It matches the Rfam family "Bacterial small subunit ribosomal RNA", at positions 523 to 918 of the family's 1533-position model. The record is from RNAcentral.